RNAcentral lists this ribosomal RNA (309 nucleotides) under Triticum aestivum (bread wheat). RNAcentral's name for it is "partial small subunit ribosomal RNA". The record is from RNAcentral. Lineage: Eukaryota; Viridiplantae; Streptophyta; Magnoliopsida; Poales; Poaceae.
AUGCGGACACCUGAAAAACCAAAUCUUAGAGCAGCGACCAUCGUUCCCCUUUGCCAAAUCCCAACUUCUGUAGCCCAGGGUCGAUGUCAGCCGGUGCAAAAUCCCCGGCUCGACGCGCUCCAUCCCCGCCAACAACGACCAUGUUCGGUGGCAGUACAGCUUGCGUCUGCACUCUAUCUAGUUGUCACAUCUGCCCACAAGCAUGCUCCUCCCUUGCUCAUGGUGCUCCAUCCCUGUUGGAAACAACCACGUUCGUCGACGACUGAGCUCGCCACACCACCCCGGAUGCUUGUCCCCGUCAGCGAGUAG